UGGGGAAUUUUGGACAAUGGGGGGAAACCCUGAUCCAGCCAUCCCGCGUGUGCGAUGAAGGGCCUUCGGGUUGUAAAGCACUUUUGGCAGGAAAGGAAACGUCGCGGGUUAAUACCCCGCGGAACUGACGGUACCUGCAGAAUAAGCACCGGCUAACUACGUGCCAGCAGCCGCGGUAAUACGUAGGGUGCAAGCGUUAAUCGGAAUUACUGGGCGUAAAGCGUGCGCAGGCGGUUCGGAAAGAAAGAUGUGAAAUCCCAGAGCUUAACUUUGGAACUGCAUUUUUAAACUACCGGGCUAGAGUGUGUCAGAGGGAGGUGGAAUCCGCGUGUAGCAGUGAAAUGCGUAGAUAUGCGGAGGAACACCGAUGGCGAAGGCAGCCUCCUGGGAUAACACUGACGCUCAUGCACG
This 411-nucleotide ribosomal RNA is filed under the name uncultured bacterium. RNAcentral describes it as "partial 16S ribosomal RNA". It matches the Rfam family "Bacterial small subunit ribosomal RNA", at positions 355 to 755 of the family's 1533-position model. The record is from RNAcentral.